This is a long non-coding RNA of Herpailurus yagouaroundi (jaguarundi), 2212 nucleotides long. RefSeq lists it as uncharacterized. The transcript has 2 exons. NCBI's taxonomy places the organism in Eukaryota, Metazoa, Chordata, Mammalia, Carnivora, Felidae. The record is from RefSeq and is a predicted model, not a curated record.
UGUGCUUUUAUGCCUUUUAAAAAUAAAUGUUAUUAUUAUAACUGUAAGGCUCAGUUUUUAUUCAAGGCUUAAUUUUUAUAAAACCUUGUAAUGAUUUUCUUUAUCUGUAGUUAUAUCUGUCCAGUUGACAAAGCUAUUCCCAGCUAUCCUUAUAUGAACAUAAGCUCCAUUUAUGGUCUGGGUAAAAACGCCUUAGGGGAGGCCUUUUCCUCUCCUUUGCCCCCCAACACACACAUAUACUUUUAGCAACAUAGAAUGUAGACUCAAUUGAAUUUUACAGUGGUUAAAAAUUCUGUCUGGCAUACCAUGUCUCUUCUCCUAAAGUUAAACUCAUACCUGUAUCCCAACUGAAAUGUCCCCUCUUCUGUGAAGUGUUCUUGACUUUAGGGCAACUUAGUUGAUCUUUUUUCGCUCUGCAGACUUAUUACUUUGGUGUGUCCCCCAUACCUAGAUAGCACACUCUAGUACCCAGAGGAGCCCAUAAAAAUUAUAAAGUACAAAAUACAUAUUUGUGGAGGGAGUGAAUGAAUGACUAUCCAAAAAAGCCUAAACAAGGCAAAGUCUGUCAUCAUUUAAUUGACACAAAUCACUUAUUUUUAUUUUCAUCUUUUACUUCUAUUCUUUACUAAUUAUUUUUUCUCUUCUUUCAGAGUCUUCAAAUGUUGUUGAUUUAGUAGGAAUAUUUGAUUUCUUUUAUCCGAAGUAACUGAAUCGGGAGACCAGAGAAAGGAUAGUACCUCACUUGGUCACAUCCAGGCUUUGGGCACAUGCGUGAUGCCAGUGUUGUAAGGGACUCCUUGGAAUCCAUGGCUUGUGGUUACAAUGUUUCCCUACUUCUCAUUACUCUUCAUCUCUCACGCAAGCCUGUCACAGUAGAAUUUGAGUACUGUGAGAGCAUUUUACUAUGUGAUGUACUGGGAAAAGGGAAUGGGUCCUUUGAGGCUCUCAUUUUCCUCAGUGAGAUUGAUUUAUUUUAAGGAAUUAGCUCAUGUGAUUAUGGAGGCCUGGUAAGUUCAAAAUCUACAGGGGAGGCUGGCAGGCUGGACACCCAGAGAAGAGUUGCAAUUUGAGACCAAAGAGAGCCUACUUGUAUAAUUCCUUCUUGCUCAGGAGAGGUCAGUCUUUUUUUUUUUUUUUUUUUGCUAUUCAGGCCCUCACCUGGUUGGAUGAGGUCCACCGACAUUAUGGAGGGUAAAUCUGCUUUAUUCAAAGUCCAGUGAUUUAAAUGUUAAUCCUGUCCAAAAAUAUACCAUCAUAGAAACAUCCAGAAUAUCUGGACCCUAUAGCCCAGCCAAGUUGACAUGUAAAAUUAACCAUCACUUCUACCAAGGUUGUUUUGAGGGCCAGAUAUGGUAACCCACGAAAGCACAUGCACAGUGCCUAGAAUACGGUAGGAACUUAAGGAAAGUAAUAGAGUAGUGCUGGUUUCUUCCCCACUCUGUCCUAAAACCACACUCUCAUAGUGUUAUCAUUUCAGAUUGAUCCAAAUGCAUGACCCUUGUGGUAAUGCCUCUUCUAGAAAUUUAGUGGUCAGUCAUCUAUACUCAACUAUUCCUAUUCACUGACCAGUGUUUAUGUUAGAAUUCUGCAUCUUCAUGCAGCAUUAAGCUCAUGGCCACUGACUUCUGCAAGGCCUUCACACAGCUCCUUCCUUGCCUGCUGUGAGGUAAUCCCAUCAGUGGGCUGAGCUAUUUUUAUUUGUGUUACAGCUUUACUUUCAGUUCCUACUCCAGGUUCUCCUUUCCCACUCAUGUCACGGUGGCCCUAAUGUCUAGUAAAAUAUUGCUCUUUCCUCCUCUUCUUUUUAGUUUUUGCCCUCUUCUCUUCUUAUUAUUAAUUGGUUCAUCUGUUGAUAGUUUUCCCCUUACGGCCUGGACCACAUGUCACAAAUAUUAUGUGAACUGAUUUCUGUUUUUAAUCAUGGAAUCAAUGCCAGAAGUGGUCUUAGAGAUCAUGUCGUCCAUCCCUUAGAUAUGAUGAAGUAACCUUGAUCUAAAUUAUGGAGAGUCAGGAACUUGAUAGAGAUCGAAUACCAUACAAGUUUGAGAACAAAUUCUGUUUCUCUGAGCAUCUAUUUUUAUAAUCAGCAAGAUGGGGAUAAUUAUAUUAUUCAUCUCACAGAUUUGUUGUGAAAUGAGCUAGUAUGUGUAAAGGGCUUAAAUAGCACAGUUUAUAUCACUUCACUCAAUAAAUGGUAAAUAUUUUUAUUUUA